This 903-nucleotide long non-coding RNA is filed under the name Linum usitatissimum (flax). Its description in RNAcentral is "long non-coding RNA (LUSI_LNC007851)". Lineage: Eukaryota; Viridiplantae; Streptophyta; Magnoliopsida; Malpighiales; Linaceae. The record is from RNAcentral.
AUUCAAUCAAGUUGAGGCAUCUAAACACUCAAAAUGUGGGGUGUGGUUAUAAUGUGUUAAUAAUCAAACACAUCAGGUACCAACAAAAUCAAUGAUGCAUAAAGGGGACAUCGAGUGUAUAUGUACUACUCUCAGGAACUGAUGAUCUCUUGAAAGAACACCAAGAAAUUUCGUCCGUCCAAAUGUUUUGAUUUUUUUAAAUAUUUUACAGUAUUUAGUACAAAUAUGAGAUUAAAUAACUAAUUUAUGAAACAUAAUACCAUACAUCAACCAUUCGUUAACAACAAAUAUGAGAUCGCUAAGUAGAACAAUGUCAUCUCCGAAUACGGUGGGACUAGCCUAUCAUACUUUACACGUUCAUCUCGAUAUAGAGUACCCUCCCAAGUCUCUCUGGGUCUAUCAUCAGCCCUAUACCUCCGCAUCACGUUCGUCAGCAAAAUUGGUAUCACCCCGGUUUUGUGUUGGAGAUUUCACUCAACAAAGGAUAUCGGAAAGGAGGUUCCUUUCCUAGAAACGAAACCUUGUUGACAGAACACAAAAUCAUUUGUGUUCCCAGGAAGUAGGGCAGUCACAAGGACUACUUAAAUCCCUACAACCUUAGGAAUCAUUUCUUUACAAUACCUAAGUUGAGAACUUCGUGCACAACAAUGUUCCAGAGAACUUAGGAGGAUCUUGGAUCGUGACGGAAUCGUGGAUACCACUUUCCGAAAAGAGUAUUUCGACGCUUAUAAGCCUUGGGUUACACGAUAUCUCUCCCGAGGAUAAGACCAUCACCACUCUUAUUGUUAGGCUCAAGAGAUAAGAGUAAAACCUUGAGAACCUUUGGAGAAAGAUUACUCCACCACUUUAAUGACCAAAGUGCCUACAUGUCUUGAAUGCUUUGUGUGGUGUAUGGAGAAUGCA